Molecule: ribosomal RNA, 208 nt
Filed under: uncultured bacterium
Lineage: Bacteria
Description: partial 16S ribosomal RNA
Rfam family: Bacterial small subunit ribosomal RNA
Source: RNAcentral
CUCGUAGGCGGUUUAGUAAGUCGGGUGUGAAAACUCUGGGCUUAACCCAGAGCCGCCACUCGAUACUGCUAUGACUUGAGUUCGGUAGGGGAGCAGGGAAUUCCUAGUGUAGCGGUGAAAUGCGCAGAUAUUAGGAGGAACACCGGUGGCGAAGGCGCUGCUCUGGGCCGAAACUGACGCUGAGGAGCGAAAGCGUGGGUAGCAAACA